RNAcentral lists this long non-coding RNA (938 nucleotides) under Mytilus galloprovincialis (Mediterranean mussel). Lineage: Eukaryota; Metazoa; Mollusca; Bivalvia; Mytilida; Mytilidae. The record is from RNAcentral.
UUUUCUAUUAUUUACAUACGACGUAAUUCUUACAUGUACAGUAAUACCUCCUUUUCUCUAAAAUACCAGUUUCAAUAUUCUACAAUGGAAGCCACGUUGGCCUCUUUUUUAUUCUUUGUGUUUCUGAUUAUUUAACAUCUUGUCUGUCAAGCUUUCUAUCUAUGAUGAGUUUAUUUCCAAUAUGACAAGAAACUUAAAUAGUUAGUCACUUGAUUUGAUGUCAGCACCAUUUUUGGCAAAAUUCAAUAUAGGAAAGAAACAAAAUAGUAAAAAAGUAUUUGAAUUUGUUCAGCAAACAUGUAUAAAUAAGGACAUUGGUAAGAGAACAUUCACAUUAGAUUACGCCCUAACUUAUCAUCUAAACAAACAUUAUCUUGUUUAAUUUAAAUAUUUUUUUGCUAAUUUUGUCCAAGUAGCUGUAUUGAAAGCACUAAUACCUACUUAAUUUACCGCCAACUAUGGGACUUCAGCUCUUUUAUGGUAUUAAGAAUUGUACUAUGUCCAGAUGGGAAGACAUCACUAUCGCUAGGUCUCUGUCCGACGCACCUGAGCACAAUCUAAAUAUAUGGAAACUGACUAUGUUUCUUAUGUUGCUAUUUUGAACUGUUUGAGUGGGUGUUUUAGUAUAUCAAAUCUAAAAACAUCGUCCUUGUCUGCGUCACAUUAAGUCAAUCUGCAAUUCUUUGAAACUUUAAUCCACAGUUCUUAGAAAAUAGCAUUACAGAACUCAACUUAAUUCGCACAGAUUCUACAAGACAUGAUGCUGUGUCCCUGAUAAAAUGUUGUAUAAUAAAUUACAGAAAAGCUAAAAGCAUCAAUGAUUUGAUACAUUGUAAUUAUAUAUUAAAAAUACAUGUGUUUUUUGUCUUUUAUCUCAGAUUAAUAAUGCAAAUUAAACAGUCAGAUAACAACUUAUGAAUUUAUAACUACGUGAGGGC